GCAGCCAAUCAGGAGCCCUGGAGUAAUCUGUAAGAGCAAAACACAGCUGGAGCUGGGAACCAGCUGAGACACAACACGCAGAGUGACAGGAAAGAGUUACUUUAGGACGACGUUUCAGUGUCGGUUCGGCAGACCUGUUCUCUCCCAUUCGAACAGUACGCAGGACGUCCUACUUGGACACGUUACCGAAACAGCCGACUAAGAGAAUAUGCCAUUCUGAUGGGAACGGUGAACCAUCAAUGCACCUGCAAUCCGUGGCAGUUACUGAUAUGGAUGACUUGGGCAACCAUGGCAGCAUCCUGCGACGCCACCUCCCUCUUCCCCAAAUCGUAAAAGACUAAGAAACAGAAAGAGAUGAAUUCCCCAACACACUGCUCAGGAUUCCUGUGUGCCCGUCACCCCCCACACCUAGAAACUGAAAGGUGGGGAACAGAGUCAUGCUUCGGUACAGGAAAUGAAAGAGAGCUGCCUUUUUCUGCAGCCCUCGCCAAAACGCUGAAGUCCCACUCAUUAUGACUGUCUCAUCAUGCCAGUGACCUUUGAUCAC
Molecule: long non-coding RNA, 547 nt
Organism: Poeciliopsis prolifica (blackstripe livebearer)
Lineage: Eukaryota; Metazoa; Chordata; Actinopteri; Cyprinodontiformes; Poeciliidae
Exons: 4
Source: RefSeq, a predicted model, not a curated record